CUCUAAGCCUUGGCACAGAGAUGCAAUCUGCAGUUUCUGUUCCGUCAUUUCAAUAUCAAAGUCCAAACCUAAUUUUACCUUCAUUAUCAAGUCCACUUCUUCCAGUACAGGGGAAGUGGACAUUAUUCUGUGAAGGUGAUGAAAAUAAUCAAAGUAAGGUGUUGAGAGAUUCUGAAUUCUUGUCUACUUUUGCUGGAGGCAACCAUAACCCUAUCAAAACAGAGGAUUCCUGUAAUCCUCAGUGCUUAGAUACCCAAAAAGAAAUUCAUAGUGAUACAUUUAUGUAUGAAACUUGUGGUUAUGCUAAUGCUUUCUCAAACUCUAAAUACCUCAAGGCAGCUCAACAACUGCUUGAUGAAGUGGUUAAUGU
RNAcentral lists this unclassified non-coding RNA (370 nucleotides) under Hevea brasiliensis (rubber tree). The record is from RNAcentral. Lineage: Eukaryota; Viridiplantae; Streptophyta; Magnoliopsida; Malpighiales; Euphorbiaceae.